This 570-nucleotide long non-coding RNA is filed under the name Homo sapiens (human). RNAcentral's name for it is "HSALNT0402099". Lineage: Eukaryota; Metazoa; Chordata; Mammalia; Primates; Hominidae. The record is from RNAcentral.
GUCAGACACCGCUGAGCUGCAGGGCCGAGGGGUCAUGUGGUUCCUGAGAGACACCACAGUACACUCUUCUGACUUACUAGGCGGACUUUGUCUACACACCAGGGAAGAUGGCUUCAGGCAGUCCACAUACUCCCAUGCCUAUGACACAAAGUUUGCGUCAAAUGCCGAAUGACCGUAGAAAGGUGGACGUUGAGUUCUUCAGCAGCUUCUGGUGUAGUUGUAAGAGGACCAGCUUCCGUGAUUGCUCUCAGUUGGUGGUUGUCAACUUCCGACGACUGGCCGCUACGCUCCUCAUCUUCAAGGCUCUCCUCUCUUUUGCAAAACUUCUUGAACCCCCACUGCACGGUAACUGUGGCCACGUGGACCAAGCCAACGCCGGCUCCUCUCAUUCCCAUUGAGAUCAGCAAGGCAACUCCAGCCUGUACCACCAAUAUCCCCAGGCCAGGAGAACAGCCAGUGAAAGCCCAUUUGAAAGACUGCCAUAUUCCUCACCAAUCCGUUUCUCAAGGCCAAGGUGAGUGGAGAGCCUUCCAGCCCUCACGGGAGCCACAUGGAGGCGGGAGGAGCUGG